GCUGGGGCUAUAGCUCAGUGGUAGAGUGCUUGCCUUGCAUGUGUGAGGCACUGGAUUCGAUCCUCAGCA
This 69-nucleotide transfer RNA is filed under the name Marmota monax (woodchuck). RNAcentral describes it as "tRNA.Ala". Lineage: Eukaryota; Metazoa; Chordata; Mammalia; Rodentia; Sciuridae. The record is from RNAcentral.